Pygocentrus nattereri (red-bellied piranha) is the source of this 1738-nucleotide long non-coding RNA. The record is from Ensembl. NCBI's taxonomy places the organism in Eukaryota, Metazoa, Chordata, Actinopteri, Characiformes, Serrasalmidae.
GUCAGGGCAGCAGGGCGCUCUAUAGACGCACUCUUCAUGUGCUUUAUUUUUAUUUGUCUUACAGUAAACUGAACGUCAUAUGAGUUCACCAGCUGUACUUACUGAAGCGAGAUAUUGCAUCAAGUUCCCUUUUCUAGUUUAAUGGCGGCUGAUUUAGCACUUUAAACGGAUACUCGUUUACUCAGACGCACUUUACGUGUUUUUCAGUGCUUUUUGACAGCCACAUCUGCGGCUAUCAGAGUCCACUAGAGGGAAGAGUCAUGGCCACACAUACAGCUGUCGGAAAGUCCCUCACAUUCAGGCCUGACUGUAAACUGGACUUCCUCUGAGAGUGGUGAAGAGAGAAGCCCUGUGUUGACCAACACGCUGUCCAGGAUCAGGAGGCUGUCUGUGUUCCCCAGAAGGAUUUCCUUGACGUCAGCUGUCUCCAGUUCCGCUUCACUUGGAAUCUUUGUUUUUACAACUUGGAAAAAAUCGCCUUCUGCUUCCUCAAAGUCCAGUAAAAUCACUAGCCAGGUCUUGCUGAUGUUGAAGGGAUCAGAAGUGGAUCCGUCAGCCCAUGAAAAUGCCAGCUUUUUGGCUAAAGAUGAUUUGCCACUUCCUUCUUCCCCUUCGAGAAGUAUAGCUUCCCCUCUGCCUGGAACAAUGGAUUGGAGCUCGCACUGGCUUUCCCUGGAGAGGAUAAAACAGUUUAAGAUAAUCAGCUACAAGGAACUGUGUUGGUGUGCAAAGGUCCAUGAGACAGAACAAACAUUGCAUAUACUGAGAUUGCCUUCGCUGUAAAUGAACACAAUUGUAUUACUAAGCCUAUGUGCUUUAUUUGUUUGCAUAUAAGUUACUUAUUACCAGUACUGUGCACAGACGUUUGAGAGGUGGAGGUUCAGGGAACAAAAGGGCAACAUGACUUGUGAAUUAAACGCAAAUUAAUCUAUAGCAUAUUACUGAUUUCAAAUAGUCUAAUACAGUCUUAUCAUGUUUCACAGGAAAUCAACCAGAUUUUUCCAACUUGUUCCCAGAACAAAAUACAACAUUGCAUGCAAUUACACACUGCCACCAGAGAGGUCUCCAAAUCCCAAAAACGUACAUAGUAUAGCUUUAAGGAGUAGAACGUGGCCAUGUGUAAUCUAACACUUGUGAGCAAUGGAUUAUUAUUAUACGACCGGUGGAAAAUACAAAUCGCAAAUUAGCAAGCUUCAUGAAAUGUGUUAGUAAAGUUGGUUUGGCAGUAGCAGCCUAAAAUUUGAGCAGCUGCUGGAGUUAAUACUUUAUAUUUAAUACUUUAUAUAACACUGCUGUCGGAACAAAACUUCGUAGCUCCAUGUUUGUCAUUUUUCAGUUUUUUUACAUAAUGUGAAAAUGCUUGUUGCUCUCUACAUUGUGUGUACAUUUCAUGAUAAAUAGACCAAAGGAAAUGGGCCAAGAUCUCUUGGAAAAAAGCCUGGUUCCAUUGACAUAAUUGACUGUUUUAGAAUAUAUAGUUUUAUAGUCCUUUUUCUUUAUAUUUAAGAUUUUUGAUACUUUUUUCCCCUUAAAUCUGCAUUUCAUAUAUUUUAGCCUUAUGUUUAUAUAUUUUAGCCUUAUGUUUAAAUUGUUUUGUAUGUAGGAAGUGCCAUUGGAUUGCUGCUCAAUUUCGUUGUACACUGUGCAAUGACAAUAAACGCAUCUUAUCUUAUCUUACUUACAUUGAAAGUAAAGUAUGUUUUUUCUUUCUCCUGUAAAGUUAUCAUUUUGGAAAUAC